CAAACUUUGGUUCGAUGAAGAGGCAAGGUCGUGGUUAGUUCCGGACUUCGGUCCGAUGCAGUGGGCAAGGCCCAGUAGUUGCUUUAUAUGUUAUUGUAUGGUAUGUGGUAGUUUGGGGGAGCUCACUAAGCUUCGUGCUAACGGUUUUCGGUUUUGGUUUCAGGUACUCAGUUUUUAGGAAGAGGAGCUCGGGAAGAUUGCAGUGCACACACCAUUGUUCAGCCUGGGAUGUUUAUACUCUGAUAUAUUUGACAUUUGUUCUGAUAUUUUGAGAUAUAUUGUUUAUGAUUGUUAUGUGACGUUUGAUGAAUAUGGUUUUAUUACUAAUUCAAAACGAAAUUUUUGGCCUGUAUUUUUGGAAUGUUUCAAGUUGGUAUCAGAGCCUUGGUUUGAGGGAUUCGGGCGCACUCUCGAGUGUGUCUGAACUCAAACUAAGGAAGUGGUAUAAAGUUUUCAAAAGAAAAGAGUUUUAGAAAAGCAAAAAGGAACUUAAAAAGAAAAGAGUUUUAGAAAAGCGAAAAGAAUUUUUAGAAAGAAAAGAACUUUGAAAAGAGAAAAGGGUGUGGUGCAUGCAAUCAGCCGAGCUCAAGUAAGUAUCCCCAAAUUACCCAUACAAGUUUAUGUUAUGAUUAUCAGUUUCAGUUUUAGUAGAACAACAUACUAGAAUAGGACUAAGGAUCUAGGAGGAUGCCUUAUAUACCUGCUAUAUGUGUUUCAGCUUUAUGAGAAUCGCAUGCUAGUAUUGAGUAGACAGCAGUAGGAUAGGCUGUUUAGGUUAUGCCUGAUAGUAUGAGCUUAGCAUUGUAUGCUAGUACAGUUUCUUGUUAUGAGGAUAGAAUUGCUUGAGUAGUCUCCUGUGUCUGAAUGUUACUUGCUUUGUGCUUUGUGGGACUCGGAGUGAUGGGAGUUAGCCAUUAGGUGAAUACGUCACAUCACAUGUGAUCAGGGUUGAAUAAUCUCAGAGUGCUAGAUUUGGCCCUAGUACGCAGCUCUCGUUUGAGUCUAACCGUUGUAGGGAUGAGUCUUUUACUCGAAGGAUUAUCUGAGCCUCGCCACAUGUGAUGAUAUUCAAGUGAUAGCUAAUUGGCAUUACAAUGAGGCCUUCAGCAGCUGAGGAGUGGAUUGGGUAGAGUCAGAGAUUUCCCUAGGGCAAGCCUAGGAUGAGAGUAGCAGAGAUCAGUAGUAGUAGAAGUGACUUGGUGGAGUCGAGGUAGUACUUAAGGAAAGUACGGAUAGAUGUGGAAGGUAGCAUGGGCCAGAACUACUAAAAGCAGAGGAUCCGUACUCGAAUCAAGGAAGGCUGAGAUGAAUCCAGAAACUUGUAGUGUGUGAGAUCCCUAGAGUUUUGAUGAGAAUUGUGAUGUUAGUGGUGGUAUAUUACCGAGUAUAGUGAUGCUAUGCGGUAGACCAGAUGGUAGUUCUGGUGUCGACAAGGGAUCAGGCUCGGACUCUGUAGCCGAGCAGAUUGAUGAAUAGAUGAGGGAGUUCAUUCCAUCCGAGAAUAAUGCGCAGUAUCAUCGACCAGACUCUUGUGAUCCUCAGUGCGAUCAAGGAGGCAAUUAUAGAGAUUUGUGAUGAGAGGUCGAGUGCUUUAGCACUGAGAUAGCAGUCAUGAUAGAGACCUGUACGUUGACGUUUCAAGAAUUCAGAGUUUGUGAGGCUUCAAAUUGUCAUGGGGUUAGGGACCCUAUGGUUAGCAGUAGAUGGUGGGCAGAUGUUGCCAACACUUUUCGUACUAGACAUUGUCUCGAAAGGAGACAAGAUCUGACUUACUUACUGUCUCCUGAGGGAUAGAGCAUGAGAUUGAUAGGAAGAGGUUAGUAGUGAGUUGUGUGAUGAUGCGGUUAAUGCUAUGUCAUGGGAUGACUUUUAGACUAGAUUCUGGGCAGAGCGUGCCCAGGCGAUUGAGGUGCAGCAGCUGGCGCAAGAGCUGUUAGAUCUCCACCAGAUGACUGAGAUUGUGUCAGAGACCACUGCCAAGUCUCGGGAAAGAGCUUAUAUGGUACCACGGUAUGUAGCAGAUGAGGAAAUGAAGAAGCUAAGUUAUCAGAACAUACUGUAGAAUGAUAGCAGAGAGAUCAUGAGUAUCUCGGGGUGCAAGACCCUGAAUGAUAUGACUUCUUGAGCUUGAGAACGAGAUAUGGACUUGGAGCACAUUGGUAAGAGGGAACCAGAUCAGUUGCGUAUAGUGAAGGGUCUCGGGAGGAGAGCGUAGAUUUCAGAUCGGCUUCUAAGAGGCCAGCAGGGUCAGAUUCGGUGCAACACUUGCGGGAAACUGCACAAGAGAGCCUUUUGUUCCAAGGGUUGAGUGAGUGUAACCCUGAGUUAUCCUCGGUUUGUGUCUGAAUUAUAUUUUCAAGAGAUGUCAUAUGGCAAUUGCAUGCCGAGAAGCAUUAGCGAACUGUGAUAGAGCAAUUCUCCAUAUUACGGGAUUGGGAAAGUACAGCGUCAUCUUGGUUUAUUCCAAGACUAUGGAGCAGCACGAGCAGCACCUGAGGGAGGUGCUAGACACUUUGAGCAGGGAGAGAAUUUUCACAAGGUUCUCCAGUUGUGAGUUCUGGUUAUGUGGGGUGCAAUUUCUUGGGCACCUUGUCAAUCAGAAGGAUAUUCUAGUCGAUCCGGCCAAGAUAGAGGUUAUGAUGCAGUGGGAGAUUCUGAGGUCCCCAAUUGAGAUUCGGAGCUUUUUGAGUUUAGCGGGUUAUUACCAGAGAUGUAUUUGGAUUUUUAGGAGUUGUGUGAUCUUUGGAUUAGCUGUUUUUGCAAACACUAGAAAGGGUAAGUGUGGUUCUAGCAGAUUAGUCAUGGGUGGUAAGAAGGAUCGAGAAUCCUUUCCAGACAGUGAACUGUAAGGAGCUAGUUGAAUCAAAGUGGGGGAGGAACCCUCAUAUAGUCAGGAACGGAAGAAAGUACGAAGUUGGGAUGAGUUCGCAACUUUGUUGAGCAGGAUAGUAGUCCGAGUGGCUGAUCGGAUUGAGAAACGCGUGAUUUGGGAGUUAGGAAACUCCCCGGUAUUGAGUGCAUGUAAUAGCGAUCAGUAGAUGAUUGGUUUGGGAAACCAGGUUGAAGAUUUUUCGGCAAGACGCGAUAUUAGUUAGGAUGUAAGACUACGGUAUAGCCGUAGCAUUCACCAGCAGGUAGACAGUACGGGAAGUGUAGUGAGGCUACAGGAUGACUAUAGUAAUCACGUUAGACGAUAGCUGGUUCAGAAAAACCAGGUUGGAGGAUCGCCGACAGGACUCGAGUGAGUCACGAUCCAGAUUGAGUGAAGGUCCGGCAUGGGAUGCUUUCAGAUUAGUAGGCGGUGUAGAGUCCGAAUGGAGAGUGUAGCAGGACUGCGGAAUAGCCGCAUCAUUCCCCAGCAGCGAGUUAGUGAGGGAAGUGAUGUAAGUCUGCGGGUGUAGCCGUAGCAUUCACUAGCAGUCAAAUAGUAUCAGAGUGAUGUAAGUCUGUGGGUGUAGUCGUAGCAUUCACUAGCAGUCAGAUAGUAUCAAAGUGUUGUCAGUCUGUGGGUGUAGCUGUAGCGUUCACUAGCAACCAGAUAGUGAUAGAAUGUUGUAAGUCUGCAGGUGUAGCCGUAGCAUUCACAAGAUUAGCAGAUAGUGCUAGAGUGAUGUAAGUCUGUGGGUGUAGCCGCAGCCUUCACUAGGAUGGUAAAUAGCAUGAGCGCGUUGUUAGGACGCAGAAGGAAUAGUAGUACCCCCCCAGUUCGGGUGCAGCAGUGAGGGCGUGGCAAAUCCAUAGAUUGGUUAUAGAUUUCUCCAGAUGAAUUGGACUUGUUUGAGCCAGUGAUGAGACCGUUGAAUCACCGCUACAGAGAUGAGAGCAAGGAAGCAGUGGACUGCUUAAGGUCAUUUAUGACAUGAGGCUACAAUUGGUCAUGUAGCAAUCGCGUAUAUCCGUCGUUUGGAGACGUCAGGAUUCGACGCAUGGAGCCAAUCAGUUCAGAUCAAAAGGUCGUUAGGGUCACAGUGACAAGAUAGCUAGUAGCAACUAGUUCCAGAGAAGGAUUUCGUUCAUAAGUCGUGUGAGGCGACUAAGUAGUUAGUCCUUUGGCUCCGCAAUAAGGCUGGAACCCAACACUUCAGAUGAUUGGCAAAUAAGUUGAGACCAAGAAGGCCUAGAUAGAUUUCGGGAAGCAGUCAUGUGGCAACAUACUACUGUUCGAUUAAUGUUUAGGUCCAUAACUAUAAUUGGUAAGACUUGACCCGACCCGGCAUGGUCCAUUUGGGUUGCAUAGCAUCAUGCACUUGGAUAGACUAAAUGAGAGAAAUAAGACACUUAUGGUUAUUAAUAUAUUAUAAGUUCUAGUAUAUUAAUAAUAAGAAUAAUUAUAUUUAAUUAGUAUUGAUCAAGAAUUAAUUUAGAAUUAAUUAUGUGAUCAAAAGAAGACUAAUUAAAUAUAUGGGUUGAUUGUGCAAAUCAUCCAUAACUUAUAUAGUGGGCCAAAGCUCCAUCGAUAAUCAAGUUGGGUUAAACCCAUAGGAUGCUCCAUGGAUGCUCAAUGGAGGUUACAUAACCCAUGGGUCAUGGAAAUGAAAGGUCAUGCCAAUUAGGGUUUACAUGGUGUAACCCUAAUUGUAUCACACUAUAUAAGCAUCAUAUUAUUCACCAAAAUCGGCCACUAGUGUGUGAAAAAGAAGGGCUAGCCGAUUUUCAUGAAGUGUAGAAUUCUCUCAAGUCAUUCCAAGUGUAUUUGGUGUUGUGUGAACCAUUUGAGGUGUCACACUUGAGGCACUAGGCACUCAAGCUUCAUGAAGUCAUUCUACAUCAAAGAGGUAUGUAUUCUAUCUUGUUAUAUUCAUUAUUUUGUAUGCUAGAUUAGGAUAAUACCUUGGAUGUUCAUAUUUGUAUGUAUAAUAGAGAAAACAUAGAUCCAAGGUAUUUAGGGUUGCAUGUACACUUAGGAGUGUUAGAAUGCUCAAAACCCAACAACUGCUUCAGGCAGUUCAAUGUUCAGACAGUUUCAAUGUUCGGGCAGUGCUAGUAAUUGUGUUUAGGUUGCAAGUUCGGACAGAAUAGCUGGUUGAAAUGGAUAGUGACAAGUCACUCACAGUGAAAAUAGCGGAGCAUUGACCAAGUAUAAGUGAAUCUGUGAUUCUGUUCUUUUAGUGAGAGCCUUGGGUUAUCAGAAGAUGAGUAGGCUGCUGAGAGACAAGUAGAUUGGAGUUAGCAGUAAUGAUUCAGUAUGGGCGGUCAGUUAGAGGGUCAGAUCAUCUCGAGACAUUAGAAUUCAGAUGAAGUAGAUGUAAUCUUGCUGCCAGGAAUUCGUUCACCUGCAGAAUUUGGGGCCUUGCGAAGGAUGGUCACAGCUACCCUGAGAAGGUUAGGGUGCGCCCAGGAUGGUGACCAUGUUACUAGAGUGGUUGGGCGUGUAAGAUAUGGUAAGGAUUGAUUUCAAGGACGAAAUCUACUUUAAGUGGGGGAGAGUUGUAACACCCCGUUUAUGUAAAUAAAUUAAGAAAAGUAAGUCGCGGACUAAUUUGUGAAGAAUUUUGAAAGUCGAGGGUUAAAAGUGUACGUUCAAGACUUAAAUUGAAAUGAUUUGAAGGCUUAAGGGUUUAUUGGUGAUUUAGGGAUCUUUUAUGAAAGAAAUUAUGGAAUCGGGGGGGUUAAAAGGGUAACUAUUGAUUAAAACUGAAAAGAUUUAAUGAAGGAGGGGCUGAACUUGUAAAAUAUGGAAGAAGUUUGAAGGGUACGGGUGAACCCGUCACCCUAGUGUGCAGCCUUCAUAUUUAAUCUAAUGCAAACCCUAACCCUACACUUCAUUCAGCCGCCACUUCCUUUCUCUACCCCUCUCAACCGCCGCUAUCAGCUCCGACCAUUAGCGCCACCGAGGAAUGGAAGCCACCUAGUCGCAGUUGCGUGUCGAGGAUGCUACUGCCGUCCUUCACCAUCGAAGAGCCACAAUGUCGAUACCGGAGACGCCGUCGAUUGAAGGUCCGAAGAUUCGGUUGUUGGGUGUCGGGACGGAAGAGGAUGAAGAAAGAAUCAAGACGUCGUCGUCGUCGUUUCCCGGUCGGAGAAUUGCGCGCAUCCCUCGCCUCCAUCCUUUCUGCCAUUCAGCUGCCGUCGCUGCCACCGUGAGCGGUUGAAGAGUAUCGUCGCUGCUCCGAGACUGUCGUCGGUAUACUCCCCUUGCUGCUCUGAUUAUCUUUUACCACCCCAAGGGGGCUGUUGUGUUCGCAAUAGCAGACCUUCUGCCAAGGAAUGUCGUGAAGAACAACCAUGGCAGCCGGCCAUGGUGGUUAUUGCCGUCAACACCGCUAUCAACAGUUGAUGUUGCCACCGUGUGUGCCAAAUGGUGUUUAGGUGUGUUUAUUUAAUUUUUAGUUGGGUUGUGUGGGUAGUUUAUUUGGCCGGAAAAAGUCACCGCCGCCACCAGCCACCGUCGGCCGCCACUAGGGUGGCUAUGUGUGUAUGUGUAUUAUUUAGUUAGUGUGUGUGUGUUUAUUUUGGUUCAAAGCAUUGUAACUGUAAUCAGCAAGAAUAGUAAUGAAAAAAAGAACCAAACCACCACCGUGAGGUGGUGGCCGCCAUCGUAAGCGGCCAUAGACCACCACUACCCGAGGUGGUAGUGGAUGGUGCCCCACUAGCAAACCCUAAUGGGCUUAGAGAUUGGUGUUGUUCCCAUUGGGCCAUGUUUGGGUGUAAGACCCUAAUUGUUAGCAUUUGGGCGUUGGACCUAUUUGGACCCACUUUUGGGCCAUUGAGAUUAGAUUGUGAAUUAAGCCCAAACUAUUCCAUGCCAUUUACCUAGUAGAGUAAAGGACUUAACGGACUAAGUCCUUAAUGGGCUAAUUGAGAAAAUCCUAAUAUUUGAGAAAUUAUCAGGACACACGAGAAUUAUUUAAUAAAUGAAAUAUUAAAUAAUAAUCAUUGGCAUAAAUUAAUCUAAGCAAUAAUGGACUUAAUGGAUUAAGUCCUUAGUGGGUUAAGUCCUUAAUGAGUUAAGUAAGAAACACUUAACCCUAAUUGUCAUUUCAUGUGAAACCCUAAUUUCACUUGGGCUUUAUGUUGGGCCAUCCAAGAAUAAUUAAAUGGACUAGAGUAAUUAGUUGGGUUUUAGGGUAAGGCCCAUAUGAAGGAUUGGGCUCAAUUUGGAAAAUUGGGCCAUAGAUGGGCCAUAGUUUGGGCCUAGAUGGUUGUAUGAUAUUGGGCCCUUAGAAUGAGACAUGUUGGACUAGACUGAACAAUUGGGCCUUAAGGGAAGUCCAUGUAGAGGCUUGGGCCCAAUUUGGAAAAUUGGGCCAUAUGUUGGGCUUUAAUCCCUAGUUGACUUUAGGCCUAUGGAUUGGGCCUUGGGCUUGGGUAAGCCAAGCUAGGGGUAAUGUAGUAAUUAUCUACAGUAUGUAUUUAUAGUUAUGUGUUAGAACCCAAUUAUUAAUUGGGUGUCAUUUUGGUGUUGACAGUUCGGGAAUCUGUCAUCCAGCAGCUAGGGUUGAGUCUGCAGGACUUCAGCAGUAUGAGAUUGUGUCUACAGGACUUCAGCAGUCACAAGUGAGUUUCCUUCCAGUAGGAACGGGUCUACGGCCACAAUGUCGGCCCGUUUAGUUAGCAGUAGUUCCGGACUUCGGUCUGAUGCAGUAGUUCAGUGUGCUUGACGUCUUUGUGAUUCAAGCAUGUCUUUGUGUUAUGUGUUCCGGACUUCGUUCUGAUGUAGUAUGCAGUAUAUGUGUUUAUGCUAGUAGUUAUGAUUAUGCUAUGCUAUGUUCAGUCAGUUCCGGACUUCGGUCCGAUGUAGAGGGCAAGGCCCUGGUUAGUUCCGGACUUCGGUCCGAUGAAGAGGGCAAGGCCCUAGUUAGUUCCAGACUUCGGUCUGAUGCGGCUUCCAAACUUCGGUCUGAUGCAGAGGGCAAGGCCCUGGUUAGUUUCCGACUUCGGUUCGAUGAAAAGGCAAGGCCCUGGUUAGUUCCGGACUUCGGUCCGAUGCAGUGGGCAAGGCCAAGUAGUUGCUUUAUAUGUUAUUGUAUGGUAUGUGGUAGUUUAGGGGAGCUCACUAAGCUUUGUGUUAACGGUUUUCAGUUUUGGUUUCAGGUACUCAGUUUUUAGGAAGAGGAGCUCGGGAAGAUUGCAGUGCAAACACCAUUGUUCAGCCUGGGAUGUUUAUACUCUGAUAUAUUUGACAUUUGUUCUGAUAUUUUGAGAUACAUUGUUUAUGAUUCUUAUGUGACGUUUGAUGAAUAUGGUUUUAUUACUAAUUCAAAACGAAAUUUUCAGACUGUAUUUUU
RNAcentral lists this long non-coding RNA (8228 nucleotides) under Lactuca sativa (garden lettuce). Its description in RNAcentral is "long non-coding RNA (LSAT_LNC006238)". The record is from RNAcentral. Lineage: Eukaryota; Viridiplantae; Streptophyta; Magnoliopsida; Asterales; Asteraceae.